CCCUGAGGCCUCCUCUCUGGCGUCAGUGUGCUAAGUGUAGUGAAGGAAGUUCUUUUUCCUUCCACGCUCCCAGGCUCUCUGGCUGGGAGGCCGGAAUAGAAGACCAACGUCGGACGUCGGACCGCCGGGAGGAAACCAACCAGAGGUGUACGGGCGCGUGCGCGAUGCGCGAGCACGUAGCAGGCCCCACAGCGAGCAUCUCCUCGGAGCGGGUGGGCCUUGGGCUCCCACAGGGCUCCCACCAGACGGUCUUCAGAUGCACCCAAAGGUCAAGGAGAAGGCGGCCGUCUACAAGCCAAUGAGAGAGGAGGCCUCAGAAGAAGCCACCUUAGUCUUGGACUUCUGACCUUCAG
RNAcentral lists this long non-coding RNA (353 nucleotides) under Mustela putorius furo (domestic ferret). RNAcentral describes it as "lncRNA (ENSMPUG00000031864.1)". Lineage: Eukaryota; Metazoa; Chordata; Mammalia; Carnivora; Mustelidae. The record is from RNAcentral.